This 29-nucleotide non-coding RNA is filed under the name Mus musculus (house mouse). Lineage: Eukaryota; Metazoa; Chordata; Mammalia; Rodentia; Muridae. The record is from RNAcentral.
UCACUGUGAUUAACUUUAGUUAGGGGCUC